AAAAAAUUUAUUAAAGGUUUAUUUUAUAUAUAAAUUAUAGUGUUAAAUUAUUAUUAUUUUAAUAAUAAUAAUGAUAUUUUAAUAGUAAAUAAAAUUAAAAAUUUAAGAAAUUAAGAUUUAGUAAUACAAAAAUUAAUAACAAAUUUUGUGCCAGCAGUUGCGGUUAAACAAAAGUUAAAUUAAAUUAUUUCAGUUUAUAAGUAAUAAAUAGUGAAUUAAAAUAAAUAUUAAAUUAUUAGGUAAAAUUUUAAUUUAAUUAAAUUUUAUAUAAAAAUUUAUGUUUUAAAAAAUUUUAUUUUAAACUAGGAUUAGAUACCCUAUUAUUAAAAAUUUAAGUUAUAAUACUAAAAUAGUAAAUAAUUAUUUAUUGAAACUUAAAUAAUAUGGCGGUAUUUUAGUUCAUUUAGAGGAAUCUGUUUAAUAAUUGAUAGUCCACGAUUAAAUUUACUUAAUUAAGAAUUUUAUAUAUCGUUGUUAAAAAAAUAUUUUUAAUAAAAAAUAAUAUUUAAAAAUUAAAAUAAAAAAUUAAUUCAGAUCAAGAUGUAGAUUAUAAUUAAGAAUAUAAUGGAUUACAAUAAAAUUAUUUAAAUGAAUAUAUUAUUGGAAAAUGAUAUUGAAGGUGGAUUUAAAUGUAAUUUUAUUUAAUAAAAUAAAAUGAUUUAAAAUUAAAAUAUGUACAUAUUGCCCGUCACUUUCAUUUAAAAAUUGGAAUAAGUCGUAACAAAGUAGAGGUACUGGAAAGUGUUUCUAGAAAGAA
RNAcentral lists this non-coding RNA (757 nucleotides) under Parantica aglea (glassy tiger). Lineage: Eukaryota; Metazoa; Arthropoda; Insecta; Lepidoptera; Nymphalidae. RNAcentral also lists the same sequence under 1 other name. The record is from RNAcentral.